UACGGGGGGGGCAAGCGUUGUUCGGAAUCACUGGGCGUAAAGGGUGCGUAGGCGGCGGAGUAAGUUGGGUGUGAAAUCCCGGGGCUCAACCUCGGAAUGGCAUUCAAUACUGCUUCGCUAGAGUACUGGAGAGGAGGCUGGAAUUUACGGUGUAGCAGUGAAAUGCGUAGAUAUCGUAAGGAAGGCCGGUGGCGAAAGCGAGCCUCUGGACAGUUACUGACGCUGAUGCACGAAGGCCAGGGGAGCAAACGGG
RNAcentral lists this ribosomal RNA (253 nucleotides) under uncultured bacterium. RNAcentral describes it as "partial 16S ribosomal RNA". It matches the Rfam family "Bacterial small subunit ribosomal RNA", at positions 524 to 776 of the family's 1533-position model. The record is from RNAcentral.